Molecule: long non-coding RNA, 275 nt
Organism: Impatiens glandulifera
Lineage: Eukaryota; Viridiplantae; Streptophyta; Magnoliopsida; Ericales; Balsaminaceae
Exons: 3
Source: RefSeq, a predicted model, not a curated record
GGGCAAAAGGAAAAAGAUGCAGAUAUUUGUCCGACGAUCACUCUCGAGGUAGAGAUCAAUCACACCAUUGACAAUGUCGAGUCUAAGAUUCAGAUAAUAAGGCCUUCCUCCUGAACAAAAACGAUGAUUUUUGCCGGGAAGCAACUUGAAGAUGUCCAUAUUCUUGUCGAUUACAGCAUUCAGAAAGGAAUGUAUUGAGAGGAGUUUUGACUAAUUUAAUGAGAACAAGGAGAAUUUAGCUACUUGUUGUAAUUUGACCACAAAUAUGACGAAAG